Molecule: unclassified non-coding RNA, 345 nt
Filed under: uncultured fungus
Lineage: Eukaryota; Fungi
Description: sequence contains ITS1
Rfam family: 5.8S ribosomal RNA (bases 1-105)
Source: RNAcentral
AAAGUGCGAUAAGCAAUGCGAAUUGCAGAAUUCCGCGAAUCAUCAGAUCCUUGAACGCAACUGGCGCUAGGAGGCUCCCCUCCUAGCAUGUCUGUUUCAGUGUCUGAAAACCUCACACACUAAACUUAAUGUGGUUGAUGAAGAGAAAGAGAAAUCUCUUUCUCUGAAUCUCCCAUGAAAGAUGUACAUGCGAGUCUUUGGACUCCUCAUCGAAUUGGUCACUGUUUUCUCAGUGAUUUCGAUAGGAGGAUUAAAACAAUUCAAUUACUCAAAUGCAUGUAGGAAUUUCUUUAAAAAACUCAAACUCUGCAUCUGAAAUCAGGCAAGAACACCCGCUGAACUUAA